GGAAGGGAUCAGCAGUUAUGACAAACAUUUGUUGAGUGUGUGCCAGGAACUGCCCUGAGUGCUGCAUAAACAUUGUGUUCAAGUUCGUUAAUUCCCUACAAGGCAGAGGCCUCCGUUUGCUAAGGAAACAGGGAUGCAGAGAGAGGAGGAAAUGGGCGCUCAGCUGUGAACAGCCCCCGAAAUAGUCCUGAGUCUGAAGCAAGGGCAGAGGCUCACAGUGCAUCAGAUUUGUCCCAGGAAACACAGAAGCUGCUUCAUUCCAGUGCCUCAGAGCCAGCAGAGAGCAGCCUUCCGAGACCCACCACUGAAGGGACGGCACCCAGAAGAGAGCCUCUGUGGAUGGGACCACGUGAGUGGUCACUAUUCUCCUGAGAGAUGGCGUCACGCUGUGGUUGCCUCUGGGAUGAGAUUUAGACAAAUUCACUGGUACAAGUCAACACUGCCAUUCACCUCUAACUGUUCAGGUGGAAGCUCCACCUCAGCCCCUGGCACCCUGGCAUCCAUAUACCCAAAGAGUCUGGAAUGUUCUGGUGAAAGCCCCACACCUCUGCCCAGACCCUGCCCCUCAGAAAGUCCUGUCAAACAUGGCUCCUCCACCAGAGAUGCUCAAGAUCUCUCCCACAGGGUAUUUAAACUGCCCCCCAGAAAACAGACAGGUAUUUUUUCCGUCUCUCGUCUCUUCUCUGGGGGGCUGGAGAAUCAACCAGGAUUGCUUUACCCAUUAAACCAGGGCUUUCUCUAA
This is a long non-coding RNA of Peromyscus eremicus (cactus mouse), 742 nucleotides long. RefSeq lists it as uncharacterized. The record is from RefSeq and is a predicted model, not a curated record. NCBI's taxonomy places the organism in Eukaryota, Metazoa, Chordata, Mammalia, Rodentia, Cricetidae. The transcript has 3 exons.